Molecule: ribosomal RNA, 499 nt
Filed under: uncultured bacterium
Lineage: Bacteria
Description: partial 16S ribosomal RNA
Rfam family: Bacterial small subunit ribosomal RNA
Source: RNAcentral
GACGAACGCUGGCGGCGUGCCUAAUACAUGCAAGUCGAGCGGACUUUCAAGAAGCUUGCUUUUUGAAAGUUAGCGGCGGACGGGUGAGUAACACGUGGGCAACCUGCCUGCAAGACGGGGAUAACUCCGGGAAACCGGGGCUAAUACCGGAUAAUAUCUUCCUUCGCAUGAAGGAAGGUUGAAAGGCGGCGCAAGCUGCCGCUUGCAGAUGGGCCCGCGGCGCAUUAGCUAGUUGGUGAGGUAACGGCUCACCAAGGCGACGAUGCGUAGCCGACCUGAGAGGGUGAUCGGCCACACUGGGACUGAGACACGGCCCAGACUCCUACGGGAGGCAGCAGUAGGGAAUCUUCCGCAAUGGACGAAAGUCUGACGGAGCAACGCCGCGUGAGCGAAGAAGGUCUUCGGAUCGUAAAGCUCGGUUGUCAGGGAAGAAAAAGUACCGUUCGAACAGGGCGGUACCUUGACGGUACCUGACCAGAAAGCCACGGCUAACUACGUG